RNAcentral lists this ribosomal RNA (225 nucleotides) under uncultured bacterium. RNAcentral describes it as "partial 16S ribosomal RNA". It matches the Rfam family "Bacterial small subunit ribosomal RNA", at positions 112 to 334 of the family's 1533-position model. The record is from RNAcentral.
CGGACGUGAGGAACCUGCCUCGGAGUGGGGAAUAACAAUACCGAAAGGUAGUGCUAAUACCGCAUAAUGCAGUUGGGUCGCAUGACUCUGACUACCAAAGAUUUAUCGCUCUGAGAUGGCCUCGCGUCUGAUUAGCUAGUUGGCGGGGUAACGGCCCACCAAGGCGACGAUCAGUAGCCGGACUGAGAGGUUGACCGGCCACAUUGGGACUGAGACACGGCCCAG